This 427-nucleotide ribosomal RNA is filed under the name uncultured archaeon. RNAcentral's name for it is "bacterial SSU rRNA". It matches the Rfam family "Archaeal small subunit ribosomal RNA", at positions 147 to 575 of the family's 1478-position model. The record is from RNAcentral.
UAAUACCGGAUAGAUCAAAGAUACUGGAAUGUUCCUUGAUCCAAAGCUCCGGCGUCCAAGGAUGGAUCUGCGGCUUAUCAGGUAGUAGUGGGUGUAACGUACCUACUAGCCUACGACGGGUACGGGUUGUGAGAGCAAGAGCCCGGAGAUGGAUUCUGAGACAUGAAUCCAGGCCCUACGGGGUGCAGCAGGCGCGAAAACUUUACACUGCGGGAAACCGCGAUAUGGGGACCCCGAGUGCCAGCACCUAGUGCUGGCUGUCCCGCUGUCUAAACAACAGUGGUUAGCAAGGGCCGGGCAAGACCGGUGCCAGCCGCCGCGGUAACACCGGCGGCCCGAGUGGUAACCGAUUUUAUUGGGUUUAAAGGGUCCGUAGCCGGCCUGUUAAGUCUCUUGGGAAAUCUGGCGGCUCAAUCGUCAGGCGUCC